This 727-nucleotide ribosomal RNA is filed under the name uncultured bacterium. Its description in RNAcentral is "bacterial SSU rRNA". It matches the Rfam family "Bacterial small subunit ribosomal RNA", at positions 125 to 851 of the family's 1533-position model. The record is from RNAcentral.
CCUGCCGUCUACUCUUGGCCAGCCUUCUGAAAGGAAGAUUAAUCCAGGAUGGGAUCAUGAGUUCACAUGUCCGCAUGAUUAAAGGUAUUUUCCGGUAGACGAUGGGGAUGCGUUCCAUUAGAUAGUAGGCGGGGUAACGGCCCACCUAGUCAACGAUGGAUAGGGGUUCUGAGAGGAAGGUCCCCCACAUUGGAACUGAGACACGGUCCAAACUCCUACGGGAGGCAGCAGUGAGGAAUAUUGGUCAAUGGGCGAUGGCCUGAACCAGCCAAGUAGCGUGAAGGAUGACUGCCCUAUGGGUUGUAAACUUCUUUUAUAAAGGAAUAAAGUCGGGUAUGCAUACCCGUUUGCAUGUACUUUAUGAAUAAGGAUCGGCUAACUCCGUGCCAGCAGCCGCGGUAAUACGGAGGAUCCGAGCGUUAUCCGGAUUUAUUGGGUUUAAAGGGAGCGUAGAUGGAUGUUUAAGUCAGUUGUGAAAGUUUGCGGCUCAACCGUAAAAUUGCAGUUGAUACUGGAUGUCUUGAGUGCAGUUGAGGCAGGCGGAAUUCGUGGUGUAGCGGUGAAAUGCUUAGAUAUCACGAAGAACUCCGAUUGCGAAGGCAGCCUGCUAAGCUGCAACUGACAUUGAGGCUCGAAAGUGUGGGUAUCAAACAGGAUUAGAUACCCUGGUAGUCCACACGGUAAACGAUGAAUACUCGCUGUUUGCGAUAUACGGCAAGCGGCCAAG